RNAcentral lists this ribosomal RNA (277 nucleotides) under uncultured prokaryote. RNAcentral describes it as "partial 16S ribosomal RNA". It matches the Rfam family "Bacterial small subunit ribosomal RNA", at positions 524 to 800 of the family's 1533-position model. The record is from RNAcentral.
CACGGGGGUUGCGAGCGUUGUCCGGAAUUACUAGGCGUAAAGGGCAGGCAGGCGGAUCCAUAAGUUUAUCGUUUAAGGCGUCGGCUUAACCGGCGUAGGGCGGUAGAUACUGUGGAUCUGGAAUGCGGUUGGGGAAGACAGAAUUCCUGGUGUAGCGGUGGAAUGCGCAGAGAUCAGGAGGAAUACCGAAGGCGAAGGCAGUCUUCCAAGCAGUUAUUGACGCUCAACUACGAAGGUGUGGGUAUCAAACAGGAUUAGAUACCCUGGUAGUCCCUGA